This is a long non-coding RNA of Saccostrea cuccullata (small rock oyster), 628 nucleotides long. RefSeq lists it as uncharacterized. Lineage: Eukaryota; Metazoa; Mollusca; Bivalvia; Ostreida; Ostreidae. The transcript is spliced from 3 exons. The record is from RefSeq and is a predicted model, not a curated record.
UAUAUACAGAGAGAGAAUAGUGUUGAAAUGAGGAAUUGUAAUUUUUUAAUUGAAAGAUUUUUUUCCGGUAUAGUUUACAAUAAUGUCUAUUUUUGGCUUAUUAAUUAAACAAAUAUAUAUAAAGUUUUAGAUCAAAUUAACAAAAUUCGUCAAAAGUCAAUAAAUGAAAGGAUAGGCAAACAAAUUAAAAUAUAAAUAAAUGAAUUUAAAUAAAAAAAACAUAUAAUAUUCUUAAUGUCUUUUUUUUCUUAAAAAAUGUUCUUCGUCAAAUUUGUGAUCCACUCCCAGAAUUUAACUCUGAGGCAUUAGAUAAGGAUUGGCACACUGGUCAGCUUCAGUGUCAUGAUAACCUUGUUAUGCAAUUCUCCUGCUGGGCAGCGCGUUACAGUGUAUAGUGGUUUGCAGCUUAUCUAGGCCAAAUUUUGAAUUCUGGUAAACAAGAUGUGCGCGCUUACUCCUUGCCGAUUUGAAUGAGAAGACUUUGCAUCGUAUAAACCACAAAAAUAACCUCGGGAUUUAUUAACUCGGAAUGCAUGGUGUUAGUGCCAUCAUCCGUUUGAAUUCCCACAUUCAAAAGACCCGCCUUUGGUGAAGGCAAAGGUGCCGUGCUAUUCUUUCUGAGGGGCAG